GAUGAACGCUAGCGGCAGGCUUAAUACAUGCAAGUCGAGGGGCAGCACGGGUAGCAAUACCUGGUGGCGACCGGCAAACGGGUGCGGAACACGUACGCAACCUUCCCAAAACUGGUGAAUAGCCCUCCGAAAGGAGGAUUAAUACACCGUAACAUAAUGAAGUGGCAUCACUUUAUUAUUAUAGCUCCGGCGGUUUUGGAUGGGCGUGCGCCUGAUUAGGUAGUUGGCGGGGUAACGGCCCACCAAGCCUGCGAUCAGUAACUGGUGUGAGAGCACGACCAGUCACACGGGCACUGAGACACGGGCCCGACUCCUACGGGAGGCAGCAGUAAGGAAU
Molecule: ribosomal RNA, 337 nt
Filed under: uncultured bacterium
Lineage: Bacteria
Description: bacterial SSU rRNA
Rfam family: Bacterial small subunit ribosomal RNA
Source: RNAcentral